UUUUACAUACAAAUAUUUUUUCUGCUUUAAAUGGCUUCUCUAUGUUAAAAAAGUUUUUUUUCCGGGGCCGUGAAGCAAGAUCGUUUCCUACAUGGGAUUCUAUUUUGGUCCAGUGUUGAUCUUUAGUGGUGAUUACUAAAGCUUCUCCUGUGUACAAAGAUGCUUCCACCUGCUCCAGGGGGAGCACACACCUGCUCUGAGGAUACAGACUAAGUGCUAAAAUACACUGUUAACUGAUGGACUCAAAACAACCUGUCAAAAGACAGACAGCUGUGAAACCUUAUUUAAUGGAGGAGAAAACCAAGACUGGCAGAGAGUUUGGAUGACCACUCUCAGGAAAAGACCAUUAAGAAGGCGAGAUGUGAGCCGAGAGGGCCUGUGGGAUGAAGCUUCAGAGCAGGCAUCAUGAUUGGGCGGUGACGUCAAGACAGAUAGCCUCACUGUUGGCUUAACUCAACAAGUACUUCGGAAAACCUGCUACAUGCCCAGCUCCAGGCGGGCUCAGGAGAGCAGCGGAAGGUGUUCUCCAUUCAGACCCUGUCCUCCUGGGGCAGCCGCGGGUUGAGAGUCUGCAGACUCCAGGGCCCACUUCAUCCUGCUGAGCGAGUCGGUUCCCAUUUCCUGCCCAGUUUGGUUUCUCUGUCUGUGCUGCUCUGUCGGGGGUGGGCCCUGGAGGAAACAGAAAUGCUCAUAGAGUAGGCUGCUCUUUGGACAUCCUAGCUCAGCCUCUGCAAACAAGUGCUAAGCAGGUCCUGUGCUUGAACCAGUCUGCGAGGCACCGCACAAAAGAG
Molecule: long non-coding RNA, 791 nt
Organism: Bubalus bubalis (water buffalo)
Lineage: Eukaryota; Metazoa; Chordata; Mammalia; Artiodactyla; Bovidae
Exons: 3
Source: RefSeq, a predicted model, not a curated record